UACGUAGGGUGCGAGCGUUGUCCGGAAUUAUUGGGCGUAAAGAGUGCGUAGGUGGUUACCUAAGCGCAAGGUUUAAUCUUGAGGCUCAACCUCAUUCUGCCUUGCGAACUGGGCUACUUGAGUGCUGGAGGGGAAAGCGGAAUUCCCAGUGUAGCGGUGAAAUGCGUAGAUAUUGGGAAGAACACCGGUGGCGAAGGCGGCUUUCUGGACAGUAACUGACACUGAGGCACGAAAGCGUGGGGAGCAAACAGGAUUAGAUACCCCCGUAGUCCCUGAG
RNAcentral lists this ribosomal RNA (277 nucleotides) under uncultured prokaryote. Its description in RNAcentral is "partial 16S ribosomal RNA". It matches the Rfam family "Bacterial small subunit ribosomal RNA", at positions 524 to 801 of the family's 1533-position model. The record is from RNAcentral.